AGCUCCGAGGUGUAUAUCAUGUGAGAUUGCAAAUCUUAAGAAGUAGGCUAACCCCCUACCGGGGCUU
This 67-nucleotide transfer RNA is filed under the name Ateleopus japonicus (Pacific jellynose fish). RNAcentral describes it as "tRNA-Cys". Lineage: Eukaryota; Metazoa; Chordata; Actinopteri; Ateleopodiformes; Ateleopodidae. The record is from RNAcentral.